This is a long non-coding RNA of Camelina sativa (false flax), 1028 nucleotides long. RefSeq lists it as uncharacterized. NCBI's taxonomy places the organism in Eukaryota, Viridiplantae, Streptophyta, Magnoliopsida, Brassicales, Brassicaceae. The record is from RefSeq and is a predicted model, not a curated record.
UCAUAAUGUCAAGAAUAAAAAAGAAUAUUGAUGGGUCUGUAUGGUUCUACUGUAAUGGGCCGUCAUCUUCUCCACUCCUCAUCGAUUUUUCUUUCCACCGAAACAUAGACGAUAACAGCUGAAUCGAAAUUGAUAUACCCAUAUAUUUUUAAAAUCCAUAUACUUCUUCGAUAUAUUUGUCUUUGUUAGAGUAUUUGAUUGUCUAAACGGAUUUUCGCUGUGGGUUUCUUAAAUUUUAAUCGGUGGCUUUGUAAACAGUGUUGUUGUGAAUUCCUCAAAGAGGUCAAGCGAUUUCCCUACUGCAAACCGUGGAAGAAUACACCGCGACAAUAAGUGCCUUUGAUUAUUUUCGAUUGUUCUGGAAGUGACUAGCAGUAGAUUUUGUGAAAUGUAAAUCAGGCAACAGAUGAGCAUGGAAUUUAAAAAACAAACAUUCCAUCUUGAUCCUUAACCUUGGUUCCCAAUCGGGCUGGCUUCAAUUUUAUCGGCGUGCUUAUUCUGUUAUUCAAAUAGACAAUAUAGAUUCUGGAUGAAGUUCUGAAACAUCAUUGACUUGAGCCAUGUGAGAUGAAACCGGAGAAAAUGUAAGUUUAUUGGAAACUGUGGACACAAAUGAUCAAAGUCGCCCUUAUAGAAAGGAAAGGAUUUGAUUAUUGGGUGAGUCUUAUAUGGUUCUCCGCGUGAUCCAAAUUUAUAGACGAAAAAUAUGGUAAUUAUUUACUACGAUGACGUCUAUGCAAAAUGGAUUGCGAGAACCAGUUUGUUUGGACACAUAGCUAUCUUAUCAAAUAUCCGAAUACAUUAAUAGCCAAACAUAGAGGAUCCGCGUGUUUUUUACUUUUAAGAUUACAUCUUUGUCCUCAACUGUUUUUUUCUUUGUUCUUUCCCUUUUUAUUUCGUAUGGAUAUUUCAUGUCAUACAUGAUUAAUUUUUUUUUUAUCUGUAAGUGUACUUCCCAAUUAAUAGUAUAGAUUUACUAUCUUACUAUAUAUUUUCUAAUGUUUUCUAAAGUAAACAUUUUGGUUUUA